CAGAUGCAAUCAACACAGCUCGUUUCCAUCUGUUACACGGGCCUCUUCACCUCCGGAGCAUGCUGGAGCCCCGCCCCCUGCCGGAGCAGCCAUGACAUUGGGGACGUGUCUUCAGGAUCAGGAGCAGGCUUUGUGCUAAAAUAGGUCUGAGUACCAAGCCUGAUGCCCCCACCCUGGCCAAAGCCGGGAAGGAGAGAAGGACCUGAGGAGAAAAGCAGGUAAGGCUCAGUAGACAACCUCAAGACCAUAGAAACAUUGCAAUUCUUAAUUGUACUUAAAUCAAUUUAAUUUCUACUGUAAUCCCAUCAUGCUGGAUUGAUAGGAAAUCAAAGCCUUUACAAGCUACCUCUACUCCUAGGGUGAUGCAAAGGUCCUGUGGUUGUACCAAAGAGACGAUAUUUGGGAUCAUGCAUAUGCACACGUGAACACACACACAUAUACACACCCUUAAGUCUUCAGGUUAACUGUCUGCACUUGUUACAGUUGUGAAGCCCUUCCUCACAGCCCCCAGGCUCCCAUUUUCCUGGAGGGAUGCUUGGAGCACAGCACUCUUUUCGAGAAUGGGAGCCCCUGUGGCUGGUGGAAGCCUCCCUACGGCAUUUCACAGCCCUCUCCUGAGGUUUGCUUGGCGCCUUCCCCCUCAUGCAUGUCUCCUCUAGUCUCAGAAACCACAAAAUGUGGCCCCUUCUGGGUUUCCCUGGCUCCCUCCUCUCCAGGUGACUUAAGGCACCCCCUCUCUUUUUCUGCGGCCCCAAUGGCAGAGGGCCUCAUAAUCAACUUCAGCUCUCCCUCUGCUAGCUUUCCCUGCGGUGAGGAAGCCCAGAGUCCGGUCAUCCGCUGGGAACAGGAAAAGGAAGAGAGAAAAGAUACAUGGGGAGAGAGAGUGUAUACAUUAGUACCUCCAAGCUUAUCUUGCCACAUUAUGAUGGACCUAGAACAGUAUUCCGGAGACAGCCCUGUUCAGGGAUGUUGUAAUAAGUAUACUAUUUUUAUUUUUCGGGUAUGACAAUCGGUCCCUCACUCUUAGAUUUCUCUGGUUUCACCGUCAAGCAGUCAUGAUAUCUACUACGGAGGAGGCAGCGUUCACUUCUGACAAAACAACCAGUAUAGGACCGAGCAGCGUGGAGCGUGACUAUGGCACAGGGUUGGGGUAUAUAAUGCUCAGGCUUGGUCAGGAGAGGUGGUGAAGCCUCAGAUACGUUGGUCCAGAUUUAAUUUGGGGAAUCCUUGUAAAGGGACAUGCAUCCCCUUACUCAUACAGGAUGACACAAAGAAAGUUCUAGACUCAUGUCCACCAAACCUCCUCCUCUCUCACACGGCGAAGCAGUCAGGGACCUCUUGGGCAGUCCAAGCCAGAAGAGAAAUUCGGUUCGGCCUGAGGAGGAAUUAUACUGCCCUGAGGUCUGGAGUGGACGCUUGCAAGGGCCAUCCUGGAAUAAUCUAGAGCUCGACACUUGCAGACUACUUCUGGACCCUCUCCACCGAGCGCCCAUUGAGGGCAGGCCCGGGUCUUGGCUGACGUUGUGUUUCCCCCAUGCUGUCCCAGCCCCUGACGCGCAGCAAUGAUCUUAGCUGAAUGAGUGAAUACGUGGAGGAAAAAAUGAGCGAGCGCGUCAGAGUGUAAUAGCGAAAGUGUGUUACGAAGCAUGACAACCAAGGAUAUCUCCAUGACGAUGCUACUCAUCACCAACAGCCUGGCUUCACCAGGAGCAGAACACCCAGUCCAGGGCUUGUGCUCCUACUGGGCGGCCCUGGUGCUACCCCGCCCCCGGGAAGGAGGAGGCUGGUGUCCUCGGAGCAAGAACCGCGUUGUCCAGCUCGGUGGUGUCCCAGCAGUAAAUCUCCGCCUCUUCCACUUCCUGACAAGCUAGGCUGAUUUAUCCCCCUGUGGUUUUAUGAUCAGAGGCUACUCGCAUUGCUAAUACAUUACUCAUUUUAGCUAUAUAGACGGCAAGGUCAAAUGGCCCCUUGGAGCUCGGAAGUGACUGGCGGUCACGUAGACCUGCCUUUUCCUCAGAGGGGUCACCUACCAUCUCACUCUGUUGGGUAAAUUUAUAACCUUGAGAAUUCUAAUGUCCACCUUGCUCCCAGCACCCCCCGCCCCACUGCCCGCCCCACCCCACCACCUCCGACCCUGGGGGCUAGGUAAAUUAUAUUGCCUGGCUUACUCCUCUCAUAAACAUUCAGUGACAAACUUUUUCUUUGGCCUGGGGUCAUAAAGAGGGGAGAGAAAAAAAAAAAAAAAAGAAACCUCUUAACUUUUUUUUCCAACUUAAGACUUCAGUCAAAUAUUUUCCUCCAUCGUCAGCAAGACAUAAUACUUCAUGUCAUGAAUAAGUUAAUGAGAAAAAUAUGGAUGCCCUUCCCCAGUCUCUCGGGGACCUGAUGGGCAUUUGGCCUCACUGAGGACCAGUUCUUCUCUAAGUCCACGGGGCUCAUGGGGAAGUUUCUGGUUCGAGUCUGGUCCCAAGGUACUAGAGACUGGCCUGUCCCCCUCAGCAGUCUGCAAUCGUGUUUACCUUGAAUUUGAAUACCCGUCCCUGUGGAAUCUCCCUUAGAACUCCCAGAGGAGCUCUCAAGUGGGUGAAUGGCCCACAGCAAGCAUCGCCAAAUGCCAGCUGCCGAGUACUUCAAUAUGGCCCUUUUCACAUUUUAUUUCAUCUCUGGACCAAAAAUGUGCUUACCUAAAGAAGGCCGUCCAGACUCUUAGCGAGGCAUCCAGCUAGUUCCCUACCAUCAGGCCACAACCUGCUUUGGCAAUCUUACUUUCCACACCCGUUUCCAGCUCUGAGCAAACAGUACUACUACCGCUGCCUGAACCCUCCUGCCUAAAAUGUUCUUCCCUUCACCCAAUCUAAAUCCUUUUCCUUUAGACAAAGACAACGGGGUAAUAAAUUAGUGCUUCUUCACACUGA
This is a long non-coding RNA of Hyaena hyaena (striped hyena), 2915 nucleotides long. RefSeq lists it as uncharacterized. The transcript has 2 exons. The record is from RefSeq and is a predicted model, not a curated record. NCBI's taxonomy places the organism in Eukaryota, Metazoa, Chordata, Mammalia, Carnivora, Hyaenidae.